Molecule: ribosomal RNA, 389 nt
Filed under: uncultured bacterium
Lineage: Bacteria
Description: bacterial SSU rRNA
Rfam family: Bacterial small subunit ribosomal RNA
Source: RNAcentral
AUUGAACGCUGGCGGCAUGCCUUACACAUGCAAGUCGAACGGCAGCACGGGAGCUUGCUCCUGGUGGCGAGUGGCGAACGGGUGAGUAAUACAUCGGAACGUACCCUGAAGUGGGGGAUAACGUAGCGAAAGUUACGCUAAUACCGCAUAUUCUGUGAGCAGGAAAGAGGGGGAUCGCAAGACCUCUUGCUUUAGGAGCGGCCGAUGUCGGAUUAGCUAGUUGGUGAGGCAAAGGCUCACCAAGGCGACGAUCCGUAGCGGGUCUGAGAGGAUGAUCCGCCACACUGGGACUGGGACACGGCCCAGACUCCUACGGGAGGCAGCAGUGGGGAAUUUUGGACAAUGGGCGCAAGCCUGAUCCAGCCAUGCCGCGUGAGUGAAGAAGGCCU